GCCAUCCACAGCCCUGGGGCUUAUGAAGAAGGGACACUGCGGACCAUGUGUUUCCAGUGGGGAACCUUGAUAGAAACAGGAUGUGAGACAGGAAGAUCAGAAGAUGUUGUCCAGUGUGACCAGCGCAACUUUCGGUUCCUCUGAGAUGUUGGAAGUUGCACUGAUGACCUCAGACACUGGGGACAGCCCAGGGUACAGGGAAGUGGAAAGGUCAAGUUUCUGCAGGGACCCUUUGGCAUCCUCUCCCUUUGCCUCGACCCAGAGAGCACCAGAAGGAAGGGAAGGGAUGGAGAAGGCAUGUCAUGGGAAGUGCUCCCCGCCCAACUCCAGCUUAGAAGUCCGACUCUCCAGAUGUUUGCCUGGAAUGUUCUCUUCUCUGGCUCAGGACAGAAAUUCCUGUGCAGUCUUCUCAGGUCAGAGGUCACUGAGAGGCCCUUCACCGUCUGACAUCUGCUGUGUGAGCCCACAGCACUGCCUGUUUCCCUCUGUGGCGGCACUCCUGAUGACAGGCACCAGGGACCAAGGCUUACACUGCCUCGGUUGUCCCAGUGCAAGGUAGAUCAUCAGCGUCCCCCUCUCCUCCCUCGCUAAGUCGCCUGCCCUAGCAUUUGACCUCGUUCUCUGUUGCUCAGCUAAAGCAGCAGCCCCUGACUGGGCCACGGAUGGGAUGCAAUAAAGGGAAUGGCCAUUCUGCAGUUCUGUCCCCCUUACCUAGCGCAGGACCUGGCAUGAUAAGUAAAUGAGGCCAGGGAGCUCCAAGGUCUAGAAUCAGCCUCCAGACGUCUUUCUUUAGUAUUUAAGACAACAAAUAUAUGUGACUUGCUGUGGUUUGGACAUGGGUUGAAUGUACAUGCCUCAGGCUCAUGUGUCAAGAACUUCAUCCCUGGUUUGGUGGUGCCGAGAGGUGGGGAGGCCUUUAAGAGGUAGAGGCUGGUGGGAGUUCUUAAGUCAUUGUGGGGUGGUUUUCUGCAGGGAUCAAGGUAGCUCUCUGUACCCUGAGCUUUUGUGAGUGUGAGAAAGGGAGCUGUUCGCAGAUGAAGCCCACCCUGAAACUCUCUGGCUUCCUGUGUGGCCAUCUUUCCCUCUCACAGAUGCUCAUGUCAAACAUGAGGUUCUCACCAGAGCCAGGCUAAUGUGGGGGUCACGCUCUUGAAUCUUCAGGACCGUAAGCUAAAUAAGCCUCUUUUCUUUAUAAAGGUAGCCUGCCUCCAGUUUUUCAUUAUAGUUAUGACCACAUUCCAGGCUUCCACCUCACUGCGGGCUGACACCCAUUUGCUUGAGUGCCCAGGUUGCUGGGUAUAGGCUUGGGAGCAGAAGCUGACAAACAUUGUCAGUAUGACCCAACAGAGAGAAAGAACCUUCUGGACCUUCAACCCUGCCAUCUCUGGGGUGAUUUCCACCUCUGCCGUGUUUUGGUCCUUGCCCGCCACUGGUGCUACUCUCGCAGCUGCCACAACAACCCUAGAGAGACACUAGUGGUCUGUGAAGAGAGAUUUCCAGAACGGUUUUCCAGGUAGUAAUUACCUGCAGGUGGUACUCAGGUAAAUUCAGGAGUAGGAAGUCAUUCAUACUAAUAAUAGUAAUUAAACCAGCAUCUUUUUCUUCAGGAAUUCAGGUAUUACAGGUUUGACAAGGAAGUAAAAAAUCCCAACCUGGAGGCCAAAUCCAGUGCUGAAACCCAGCACUGCCUGGCAGGAAAGAAGCCAAACAGAGGAGACUUCAGGAUAGAUCGUUGGGGAAGGAUGGGUCGCCAGGAGCAGUGGAGAUGGGCUGUAGGUCCAGACCAAAGCUUUCCAGCAUGUGAGCCCCUGACGCCCCACCACCCGAUGAGACAGAAGCCUCCUCCUGGAGAAGCUGAAAGAGCCAGGUGCUUGUCGUGCCAGACUUUCCAGAGAACACGUAGCCUCGGUGCAUGAGGCCCACGCCCUCAGAGACCAGUCUCCUUCCCACAGUGCCAGCAGCACAGGGAUGUACAGGCUCCUGCACCUCAGCCUCGUCAGAAUCCCGAGAACAGGACAAAGCCAGCUGGAGAGACUGGGCUGCAGCUCUGUCACCUCCUCCCAAGCCAUGGACCUCACACAGUGCGGUACACAUGUGCAUGUGGACAGGCCCAGAAGGCACCUCACACAGAGUCCGAGGAGCACAAUCUGGAAAGAAGGCGAAGCAGGACGAAGCUCUCCAACAGCAUUUCCAUCCUGGGUGGACAGACCAGCGCCCGUCCCUCGCACAUGCUGCAGGGAACCCCAUCCUCACGCUGGCCGUGAAGCCUGGGGCACCAUGGGCCUACCUGCACCUCUCCACAACCCCAGGAUGCCCAGCGACCAGGGGCUGGGCCUUAGCCGGCCCACAGCAGGUACUCAGUCCCAGAGCCCCCAGGGAAGGAGCAAGACGUGGUUACUAGGUUUUUCCUUUCAUCAUUUUUUGUUGCCCUUUGUGUUUUUACUAUAACAAGUGCCCACAGUCCUUCCCCUGCUGGAGGUUUGGGUACAUGUUUACUUCUCCAAACAGACUAGGUCUGGGUCCCUUUAACUCCCUCACAUCAUAGGCACGUGGUUGGCACGACAUCCAGCUUUUGAAUGAAGGAGCAUUUACUGAAUGGAAAGGUCAUGCAGAGAGGCCCCCGCCUCCUACAACAUGCUUGGGUAGUACGCUUGAACUGUGUGAUUGAGAAGGUUUAUUGAGAUAUAAAACACAUAAUGUACAGUUCCCAAUGGAAAGUAGACAGUUCAAAAGUUGUCAGUAUACAAUCCCCAGUACCAGCCAACCAACCAACAAAAACAUUGUCAGUAUAUUCACGGAGUUGUGCAAUCAUCACCAGAAUCAAAUUUAGAGCAUUUUGUCAACCCUGAAAGAAAACCCCAUGGUCAUUUUUUUUGCUUUUCUUUUUUUUUAUUGUAAACAAAUGGGAUACAUUUUGAUU
Molecule: long non-coding RNA, 2920 nt
Organism: Sciurus carolinensis (gray squirrel)
Lineage: Eukaryota; Metazoa; Chordata; Mammalia; Rodentia; Sciuridae
Exons: 3
Source: RefSeq, a predicted model, not a curated record